Molecule: transfer RNA, 75 nt
Filed under: Candidatus Nealsoniibacteriota bacterium
Lineage: Bacteria; Candidatus Nealsoniibacteriota
Description: Candidatus Nealsonbacteria bacterium tRNA-Gly
Rfam family: tRNA
About the family: Transfer RNA (tRNA) molecules are approximately 80 nucleotides in length. Their secondary structure includes four short double-helical elements and three loops (D, anti-codon, and T loops). Further hydrogen bonds mediate the characteristic L-shaped molecular structure. tRNAs have two regions of fundamental functional importance: the anti-codon, which is responsible for specific mRNA codon recognition, and the 3' end, to which the tRNAs corresponding amino acid is attached (by aminoacyl-tRNA synthetases). tRNAs cope with the degeneracy of the genetic code in two manners: having more than one tRNA (with a specific anti-codon) for a particular amino acid; and 'wobble' base-pairing, i.e. permitting non-standard base-pairing at the 3rd anti-codon position.
Source: RNAcentral
GCGGGAGUAAUUCAGUGGUAGAAUGCGAUCCUUCCAAGAUCGACGGCGCGGGUUCGAAUCCCGUCUCCCGCUCUA